CGCAGCCUUUACGUGGAAAAAAAUCGACCCCUAAAACCAAUUAUGAAAUGCAGUUUAUCGCGUUCUCUCUCAUUCUCUGUCUCUCAGGACACUGUAAAGCAGACCGACUCAGGCUUUGGUCAAUUAUCAAUAUGGCAAUAUCUGCCUUCACAUUUUUCAUCCUUGCCUUAACGGCUGGUAAGUCGUCUUACUACCUUGAUUUGGUUUGUUUGUCUUCAGACCUAAGUCUAUUGCAAAUGUAUUCUUUAUCUAUUGCCCGUUUUAGCUAUUGUCUUAUGUUAUUGUUUAUAUUUAAGAUUUGAGAUAUUAGACACUUGUAAUUACAGCGAAUUGUUUCAUUUCAUUUUGCAGACCACUCGGUAAGCGAGAGUGGGUUAAUACUCGCAACGCAUGGUGAAGAUGUUUCAUUUACCUGCCUUUGCCUGAGAGACAUGCUGUGUAAGGAUAAUUUCAUCCGCUGGAUAAAAGUCGCUGUGAAUCGCACUGUGACAGUUUUAGACACUGGCUGUGAACAAUACUGUCGAAUCUCUCAUAAAAGUUUAAACGAUUCCAAGAUUGAGUUGACUAUUCGACAGGUAAGGAGGGAUGACGAGGGACGAUAUUACUGUGACAUAAAAGGUUCUCGGACUCUCAAGUUUCGAGGAAAGGGUACACUUCUCCAAAUUAAAGAGUCUGAGACCGGGACCAACAGGAGUGAGGUGAUGUUGUUGAGAGAAUUUGAGAGCUCCAUGAUGAAAUCAGCUUUAGAGAAUCACCGAACAUCUGUGCUAUGUUGCCUUGUGACCGCUUUGCUCACUCCGAAUAUCAUCAUCACUUGGCAUUCAUCCCAGGGACGGGUGGAAGCCGGUCAGACCUGGGUAUCUGACGCUAACGAAAGGUUCACUGCAGGAUGCCGACUACAAAUAAACGUGACAACUGGCAAGGACUCCCAAAUUUCCCCAAAUGCCGAGGAGCACAGGGAGGAGUGGUGGUGUGAGGUGCAGCAGGGAGAUUUCACAUUGAGAAGUGAAACGUCUUCAAUUUACACAACUAAAGUGUCCGAGGGGUGUCCUGCUGUCCUGUACUCCGCUGUGGCACUCAUCUCGCUGUGUGUUCUGUCCCUCGUCCUGCUCACCUCUCACUGGAUCCUCUACUUGCGCAAAGGUGCAGGAGCUUCAGUCACCAGUGCUACCACGUCACCGUCUCAGGAUGAUACAAGCUCAGGAGUGAGAUUACAGCUCAACGAACCUCCCACACCCAGAAGACAAUCUGCAAAUGCAGGUUCGGAAGUGUACAGCAUCCUAAAAUUUCCAGCUGUCAGCGCCGUGUCCUCAUCUUCUCACCAGAAUGAUACGUCAACCAGUGUGACAUACGUUUCCGUAGACUUUCAACGGCCACCAAGGCCCGGGAGACGACGCAAGGAGAACAACCGAGAUCGGCAGAUUGACAUAUGCAGUGCAGUUCAUUUUCACUAAACUUGUUGUGAAUGCUCUUGUGAUAAAAAAUCAAUUAAACAAAUUAGCACAGAAACCUCCUCU
Molecule: long non-coding RNA, 1517 nt
Organism: Clupea harengus (Atlantic herring)
Lineage: Eukaryota; Metazoa; Chordata; Actinopteri; Clupeiformes; Clupeidae
Source: Ensembl